GGCGAUUUCUGUCCACCCUCGCCGAUUCAAACCCCAUCCGUCUUUCUCGUCUCACUCUCUUACUCUGUUCGUGACUCUCUCUCUCUCAAUCUACAUUCAUUCUUAUGUGUGGUGUGCGAAUGACCGGAAUUCGUGCCUGAAAUUUGUGGAGAAGAAGAUGACUGAUUUUUUUUUGUGUGUUCUUUUUUUUUCGUGUAUUCUAUUAUAUAUAUAUGAGAGAUCUG
Molecule: long non-coding RNA, 224 nt
Filed under: Capsicum annuum
Lineage: Eukaryota; Viridiplantae; Streptophyta; Magnoliopsida; Solanales; Solanaceae
Description: long non-coding RNA (CANN_LNC021097)
Source: RNAcentral